Symphalangus syndactylus (siamang) is the source of this 623-nucleotide long non-coding RNA. RefSeq lists it as uncharacterized. The record is from RefSeq and is a predicted model, not a curated record. NCBI's taxonomy places the organism in Eukaryota, Metazoa, Chordata, Mammalia, Primates, Hylobatidae.
GUCACUAUCCUUCCUUUGUGCAGGGCCCAUUCCAGAGAGGAGAGUUACAUAACCUAUGAGGUGGACACAUACCCUAAACCCAGGUAUGACAGUCAACAUCUCUCCUAUAGGCUGGCUUCAGGGAUGAGAACAUUAUUAUGCCUGUGAGCUGGGUCCAGAAAUGAGUCACCAUCCCAACUGUGACCAGAAUCACAUAGGUAAUCAUGUCUUCAUACUAUGGGAUGGUCCCCUCAGAUGCAUCCUCCAAGCUUGGAAGAAUUAAUUUCCCAAACCUUAGACUGGGUGGCUUAGGAUUGGACUCAAGACAAAAGAACCCAGAAGCCUGAUAUGCUGGCAAAAGGAGUGUCCCUGAGCCUAAUCUUUCCUAGUCAUGUGACAAGAACCCAUUUUUGCUGAAGGAAAGUUCUGCAACAUGAGGAUUUGGAACCCUCAUUUAAGAUAAGCUUAGUAUAUGCAUGUGGGUCUCUUUCUGGCUUCUGUUUCAACAUUUUUCUGUCUUUAUGCCAACACCACAGUAUUUUGAUUACUGUAAAUUUGCAAUAUAUUUUUAAACAAAAAAAGAAUAAUGCCUCUGAGUUUAUUAUUUAUUUCCAGGCUGUUCGGCUACUUGUGGUUUUUUUGAG